RNAcentral lists this ribosomal RNA (352 nucleotides) under uncultured bacterium. RNAcentral describes it as "partial 16S ribosomal RNA". It matches the Rfam family "Bacterial small subunit ribosomal RNA", at positions 338 to 682 of the family's 1533-position model. The record is from RNAcentral.
CCUACGGGUGGCAGCAGUGGGGAAUAUUGCGCAAUGGGCGAAAGCCUGACGCAGCGACGCCGCGUGAGGGAUGAAGGUCUUCGGAGCGUAAACCUCUGUCAGCAGGGAAGAACGGUCACUGUGCUAAGCAGCAGUGAAUGGACGGUACCUGCAAAGGAAGCACCGGCUAACUCCGUGCCAGCAGCCGCGGGAAUACGGAGGGGGCGAGCGUUAAGCGGAAGUACUGGGCGUAAAGCGCGCGUAGGCGGUAUGUCAAGUCAAGGGUGAAAUCCCCGCGCUCAACGUGGGAACUGCCUUUGAAACUGGCAACCUGGAUUGUGUGUGUGGCUAGUUGUAUUCCAGGUGUAGGCGU